Long non-coding RNA from Bos taurus (domestic cattle), 695 nucleotides. The record is from Ensembl. Lineage: Eukaryota; Metazoa; Chordata; Mammalia; Artiodactyla; Bovidae.
GAAGCAGAAGAAAAUAUGAUGAGCUCAAGGAAGACACUGGCAAUGUAUCAAUCCUGGAAACGAAGUAGGCCGAACAGGGGCUUCUCUGGUGGCUCAGUGGUAAAGAGUCUGCCUUCUAAGGCAGGAGACACAGGUUCGAUCCCUGGUCUGGGAAGAUCCCACAUGCCGCGGAGCAGCUAAGCCCGUGUGCCACAGCUACUGAGCCUGUGCUCCACAUCAGCGGAAGACACCACACUGAGAAGCCCAAGCGCCACAGCUAGAGGGUAGCCCCUGCUCGCCACAGCUAGAGACAAGCCUGAGCAGUAACGAAGACCCAGCAAAGCCAAAAAGAGAUACAUAAGAUUAUAAAAUAAAUAAAUAAAUGUUAUCUCACUUGAACUUUAUGCCUCAAUUUUAUAAGCAAUUGUUUCUACUACUUAAUAGAUGAAAAUUUACCCUGGAGGGAAAAGAAACUAACACACUUCAAACAUGUAUUCAGCCAACAUUUUAAAGGACUUUUGGUGUGCGUUAUAGUCAUAGUUGAAGGUCAGCAUGGAUUUAAAAAAAACUGGAAAAAACAGUUCUAGAUCCUACACAUUGUAUGCUGUAUUUUCUGGGUGCAAAACUAGUUAAAAGACCGUGCCUUUCAUGGACUAAUUUAAACCAGACAUAACAGUAGUGCUCAAAUAUAUCCUCAAGCAUAUGUUGCUCCAGGU